Fukomys damarensis (Damara mole-rat) is the source of this 72-nucleotide non-coding RNA. NCBI's taxonomy places the organism in Eukaryota, Metazoa, Chordata, Mammalia, Rodentia, Bathyergidae. The record is from Rfam.
AGGGAUGUAGCUCAGUGGUGCAGCACCUGCCUGGCAAGUAUGAGGCCCUGAGUUCAAUUCCCGGUACCCCCC